UUUCCGUAGGUGAACCUGCGGAAGGAUCAUUAUUGAAUGAAACACUUCUGGCUUUAUGCUGUUGUGCUGGCCCUUUGGGCAAUGUGCACACGGCUCUGGUCACUUGUUUCUUCUGUUCCACCUGUGCACUGCCUGUAGACACGCUGUGUCUAAGAUAUUUGUUAACACACAACAAUGUUAGUUGGCAUGUUAUAUAUAAUAAUAAAAUAUACAACUUUCAACAACGGAUCUCUUGGCUCUC
This 241-nucleotide unclassified non-coding RNA is filed under the name plant metagenome. Its description in RNAcentral is "partial contains small subunit ribosomal RNA, internal transcribed spacer 1, and 5.8S ribosomal RNA". The record is from RNAcentral.